Molecule: ribosomal RNA, 119 nt
Filed under: Pteropus alecto (black flying fox)
Lineage: Eukaryota; Metazoa; Chordata; Mammalia; Chiroptera; Pteropodidae
Source: RNAcentral
GUCUACGGCCACGCCACCCUGAACACGCUCGAUCCCGUCUUAUCUCGGAAGCUAAGCAGGGUCAGGCCUGGUGAGUACUUGGAUGGGAGACUACCUAGGAAGACCAGGUGCUGCAGGUA